AGACAGCAGCCGCCACGGGAAUACAGAGGGUGCGAGCGUUAAUCGGAUUUACUGGGCGUAAAGCGUGCGUAGGCGGCUUCUUAAGUCGGAUGUGAAAUCCCUGAGCUUAACUUAGGAAUUGCAUUCGAUACUGGGAAGCUAGAGUAUGGGAGAGGAUGGUAGAAUUCCAGGUGUAGCGGUGAAAUGCGUAGAGAUCUGGAGGAAUACCGAUGGCGAAGGCAGCCAUCUGGCCUAAUACUGACGCUGAGGUACGAAAGCAUGGGGAGCAAACAGGAUUAGAUACCCGAGUAGUCCCUGUCUCUUAUAC
Molecule: ribosomal RNA, 307 nt
Filed under: uncultured bacterium
Lineage: Bacteria
Description: partial 16S ribosomal RNA
Rfam family: Bacterial small subunit ribosomal RNA
Source: RNAcentral